Molecule: long non-coding RNA, 1161 nt
Organism: Dreissena polymorpha
Lineage: Eukaryota; Metazoa; Mollusca; Bivalvia; Myida; Dreissenidae
Exons: 5
Source: RefSeq, a predicted model, not a curated record
CAACAGUUUAAGUUGAAAGAAAGUGGGAAUCACCUAUGUGAAAUCGUAAAUCUGGCCGAGACAAAAGAUGCCCUGAAUGCUUGGGAGCGUACUUGGUCUUCAUCAGCGAGGAGCCAGCUCAUUGAUCGAAAGCGAGAAAAAGGUGCAUCAAAUGGAUAUCUUGAACAGCAGAACCUACAACCAAUUGUUUUGGUCGAUCAUAUCGCUGGUGAAGUUGAACAGUCUGUAAAACGGAAAAGAACCUCUUCUGUAAAUCAGCAUGUCAAGAAAAGAAAUACUGCAGAAAAGGGACAAACGAAAAAAGGGACGUCGGCUUCAAAGGCAGCUUCUACACCUAAAACUAAAGCAACAAAAGCAGCAUCCACACCAAAAGCAACAUCAACAAUAGUGACUGCACAAAAGGGACAAACGAAACAAGGGACGUCAGCCCCAAAGGCAGCUUCUACACCUAAAACUAGAGAACCGAAAGCAGCAUCCACACCAAAAGCAACAUCAACAAUAGAGGUAAGUAAAAGAAGUUAUUCAGAUGAUUCAAUAGACAAUCCCAGAAAAAAAUAACUGCAGGAUUACCGCCCAUGAAUACUCGUGCACGCCUCAAACGAUACUGAAGAACAAAACAAGGACCUAUAUUUUGUAUAGGUCUCUAAGCAAAAUAAGGAAGCGAAACAAUUUUAUUGAAUAGAUUUGAAGAUUUAAAAAGUUUCUGUUAUCGAUCUGAUAAUCACAUAAUAGUUCGUUUUUUUUAUAUAAAUAUAAGUUUUAAUAUAACGUUAUUAGUAGAAAUACGGUGUAUCUGCAUUCUUUUAAGAGUAAAAAAAACACAGCAUAAACAGGGACCUAUGUGUAUAGGUCCCUGGCACAAGUAAGGUCUUGAUUGUCAUUUAAUAUGUUAUUUAAAGGUGACACCUGAUAUCUUAUCUUAAUUAUGGCAUCUACACACGUGCAGACAUGUGAUGUCACGGGCAUACCCAUAAAUGCUUUUAAUACACACUUGGAACAUCGUCUCACAUUAAGCGAUUCGUUUGCGCCUUUAUUGCUGAUGUUUUUUUUUAAGACCUUUAUGUUGCUGAAAUUAAUAAUCUGUAAUUAACGAAGAAACAAAUCACUUAUUUUUUUAUUUUAUUUUGUAAUCGUAAAUUUGGACUUUAUAACCAAAAUUUA